UUCUCUUUUGUUUUCUUUUUGGUCGAAGACUUCAGCCUACACAUUCUCUGCCCCCUCCACUUCGUGCGCCUCCACCGAAGCUGCCACGUUCGCCCAUUCCCCUGCAGUUUUCUUUCUUUUGUUUUCGGUUCUGUUAGAAAUUCCUACAACGUCAACACCCUCGUCUCCACCGAAGCCGCCACUUGUCCGCAGCUCAGCCUCCUCAGGUCAACCCUAGCAGUUCUUCAACGCAGCAGCUCCCACCGAAGCAGCCGCAUGCCCUCUCCACAUCCACGAGUCCACGAAUAGCUCGCGUCUCUCUGAGCUUCAGCCGCCAGCAGCCCGCGAAUCAGUCCAGCCAGCCUCGCCAUUCAGCCACGUGUUUAGCCACGUUCAAUCCAGAACGAGAAGCCCAACCGAGGGCUUUGUGGCCGAUUUUGACCCGGCCUGGGCUCCCAUUGGCGUUGCCGCUUUGGAGUUGAUCUACCACCAUCGCGUCGCCAUCACCGUGAACCGAUUUUCGCGUUAAUCCAGUAAGUUUAACUCACUAAUCCCUUCUUUGUAAGUUAAUGACGCUUAAGGGUUUAUUAGUUUAAAUUAAGCUUGGAUUAUGUGAUUAGUUAGACUAGGUUAGUGAAUUAAUUGAUCGUUAAUGCAUGUUAGGUGAUUAUAAUAGUGCAAUUAGCGAGUAGACAAGUUGUAGUAUUUAUCUAGAGUGGUUUGGAAAUUUUCCGGGCCCAUUUUGGUAUUUAAUUAGGCUUUUCCGGCCUAAGUUGAAUUUUUGGUAUUUAUUAAUUAAUUUUCGAAAUUAUUUAAUUAAUUAUUAUUUUUCAGAAAUUAGACCAAGAUGGUAGGUGACCGAAAUUUUAUACUGAUUGCAGUGGUAUGAUCUGUUUAUUUAAUUGAGUGUAAUUUGCAAUUUUGGAUAUUUAUCCCAAAAUUUAUUAAUUUCAGUAUUUAAUUAGAAAAUUACCAAGCGUCGGUUUACAACGCUGAAAAUGUUUUUAUUGAUUGUAUAAUUAAUGGGAUUUUACAAAAUAAAGAAAUUAUAUUUUUUGCUAAAACCUACCGUGUACCCAUACACGAUUAUUUUACUGGAACUAUGAAAGCAAUGAAAAGGGUGGUGGGUGAGUAUAAUAUCUAUGAAUCAGCUUUGGUGAGCAUAAAUCAGCUUCGGUGAGCAUAAACCGGCUUCAGUGAGCACAAAUCAGCUUAGGCGAGCUAUUCUAUAUAUAUAUCAACUUCGAUGAACUAUACUAUCUAGCUAUAUCAACUUCGAUGAGCUAUAUUAUCUAUCCUUAUCAGCUUUGGCAAGCAUUCUUUUGUAUCAGCUUAGGUGAGCAGUGAUCAUUUCAAUAAAACAACUAGAUAGAUAGUAUUGGGUGAUAGAUAGUAUUAAAAUGGUUGACCUAAAGAUGGUCUUGAUGAUAUGGAAUCAACUAGGUCGACUGAUCGAUGAUUCGAUCUGAUUGGAUGAAUUGAUUUGUUGAAAUGAGUGAUCGAAAUGAUUGAAUUGUGCUUACUUGCAGGAAGGGACUGCGGCCAAGAUAAGUCCUCCGACUUGUACUUGUGCUUAAACAGCCUUAAGGCAUAUUUUCUUCAUAAUCGGGUCUUAGGGGGUGAACUUGCUGAGACAUUGUCUCGCCCCAUUGUGGGAUAACAUUUUCAGGUCCCUAGGGUGAAGAACCUGGAACUUGAGGCGAAAGGGUCGGGAGCAUGGAUGGCUCAUAAGUCAUUUUUGGAGAUAGGCCUCCUAUACUUGAACCCUAGAGUUGGCCUCUGGUUGUAAGCCAAAUUGUGAUUUUUAAUAAUGUGUUGAUUUAAAAUUUGUGUCCUACUUUUUUAUCACACGUUUGUUGUAGUCAGG
Molecule: long non-coding RNA, 1846 nt
Filed under: Eucalyptus grandis
Lineage: Eukaryota; Viridiplantae; Streptophyta; Magnoliopsida; Myrtales; Myrtaceae
Description: long non-coding RNA (EGRA_LNC002213)
Source: RNAcentral